GAAAUGCGAUAAGUAGUGUGAAUUGCAGAAUUCAGUGAAUCAUCGAAUCUUUGAACGCACAUUGCGCCCUUUGGUAUUCCUUAGGGCAUGCCUGUUCGAGCGUCAUCUAAACCUUCAAGCCCUGCUUGGUGUUGGGUGCCUGUCCCGCCUCCGCGCGCGGACUCACCUCAAAUCCAUUGGCGGCCCCCGCGUCGGCCACGAGCGUAGCAGAAACGCGAACUCGUGAGCCCGUCCGGGCGGCUCCCAGAAGCUACACCCACCCAGUUUGACCUCGGAUCAGGUAGGGAUACCCGCUGAACUUAAGC
Molecule: unclassified non-coding RNA, 305 nt
Filed under: plant metagenome
Description: partial contains 5.8S ribosomal RNA, internal transcribed spacer 2, and large subunit ribosomal RNA
Rfam family: 5.8S ribosomal RNA (bases 1-105)
Source: RNAcentral